UAUCGGUAUUUGGUUUGCUUCAUCACUCUGCCAAACGAACAAGCGCAGACAUCAGGCCCGUCUAAAAGACAGACCUGUGCUAAUGUUGCCGGGCCUUGGCUUUGCCCCUGUCUGCCACCAACUGCCCACUCAUUCACUGAAUAAGUGACUGGUCAGCAGCAGACAAGGGCUCUGCCUCACACCCAGCACAAACGAUUUGUAAUGAUCCUUCCGCAGGUUCACCUACGGAAA
This 231-nucleotide unclassified non-coding RNA is filed under the name uncultured fungus. RNAcentral describes it as "sequence contains ITS1". The record is from RNAcentral. Lineage: Eukaryota; Fungi.